Molecule: non-coding RNA, 30 nt
Filed under: Rattus norvegicus (Norway rat)
Lineage: Eukaryota; Metazoa; Chordata; Mammalia; Rodentia; Muridae
Source: RNAcentral
UACUUCCCAGGCUUGACCUCGGUAAAAUCC